This 231-nucleotide ribosomal RNA is filed under the name uncultured bacterium. Its description in RNAcentral is "partial 16S ribosomal RNA". It matches the Rfam family "Bacterial small subunit ribosomal RNA", at positions 118 to 347 of the family's 1533-position model. The record is from RNAcentral.
UGAGCAAUCUGCCCUUCACUCGGGGAUAAGCCUCGGAAACGAGGUCUAAUACCCGAUACGACCAGCCUUCGCAUGAGGUGCUGGUGGAAAGUCUUGUCGGUGGAGGAUGUGCUCGCGGCCUAUCAGCUUGUUGGUGGGGUAAUGGCCUACCAAGACUUCGACGGGUAGCCGGCCUGAGAGGGUGACCGGCCACACUGGGACUGAGACACGGCCCAGACCUCCUACGGGGAG